Catagonus wagneri (Chacoan peccary) is the source of this 105-nucleotide small nuclear RNA. The record is from Ensembl. NCBI's taxonomy places the organism in Eukaryota, Metazoa, Chordata, Mammalia, Artiodactyla, Tayassuidae.
GUGCUCACUUCAGUAGCACAUAUACUAAAAUUGGUAUGAUUAUAGAGAUUAGCAUGGCCUCUGCACAAGGAUGACACACAAAUUUGUGAAGUGUUCCGUAUUUUA